RNAcentral lists this ribosomal RNA (163 nucleotides) under Sesleria argentea. Its description in RNAcentral is "5.8S ribosomal RNA". It matches the Rfam family "5.8S ribosomal RNA". Rfam says of the family: 5.8S ribosomal RNA (5.8S rRNA) is a component of the large subunit of the eukaryotic ribosome. It is transcribed by RNA polymerase I as part of the 45S precursor that also contains 18S and 28S rRNA. Functionally, it is thought that 5.8S rRNA may be involved in ribosome translocation. The record is from RNAcentral. Lineage: Eukaryota; Viridiplantae; Streptophyta; Magnoliopsida; Poales; Poaceae.
CACACGACUCUCGGCAACGGAUAUCUCGGCUCUCGCAUCGAUGAAGAACGUAGCGAAAUGCGAUACCUGGUGUGAAUUGCAGAAUCCCGCGAACCAUCGAGUCUUUGAACGCAAGUUGCGCCCGAGGCCAUUCGGCCGAGGGCACGCCUGCCUGGGCGUACGC